This 546-nucleotide ribosomal RNA is filed under the name uncultured bacterium. RNAcentral's name for it is "partial 16S ribosomal RNA". It matches the Rfam family "Bacterial small subunit ribosomal RNA", at positions 355 to 895 of the family's 1533-position model. The record is from RNAcentral.
UGGGGAAUUUUGGACAAUGGGCGAAAGCCUGAUCCAGCAAUGCCGCGUGUGUGAAGAAGGCCUUCGGGUUGUAAAGCACUUUUGUCCGGAAAGAAAUCCUUGGCUCUAAUACAGUCGGGGGAUGACGGUACCGGAGGAAUAAGCACCGGCUAACUACGUGCCAGCAGCCGCGGUAAUACGUAGGGUGCAAGCGUUAAUCGGAAUUACUGGGCGUAAAGCGUGCGCAGGCGGUUUGCUAAGACCGAUGUGAAAUCCCCGGGCUCAACCUGGGAACUGCAUUGGUGACUGGCAGGCUAGAGUAUGGCAGAGGGGGGUAGAAUUCCACGUGUAGCAGUGAAAUGCGUAGAGAUGUGGAGGAAUACCGAUGGCGAAGGCAGCCCCCUGGGCCAAUACUGACGCUCAUGCACGAAAGCGUGGGGAGCAAACAGGAUUAGAUACCCUGGUAGUCCACGCCCUAAACGAUGUCAACUAGUUGUUGGGGAUUCAUUCCUUAGUAACGUAGCUAACGCGUGAAGUUGACCGCCUGGGGAGUACGGUCGCAAGAUU